This 441-nucleotide ribosomal RNA is filed under the name uncultured bacterium. Its description in RNAcentral is "bacterial SSU rRNA". It matches the Rfam family "Bacterial small subunit ribosomal RNA", at positions 954 to 1392 of the family's 1533-position model. The record is from RNAcentral.
AUGGGAACGCGAAGAACCUUACCUACUCUUGACAUCCAGAGAACUUUCCAGAGAUGGAUUGGUGCCUUCGGGAACUCUGAGACAGGUGCUGCAUGGCUGUCGUCAGCUCGUGUUGUGAAAUGUUGGGUUAAGUCCCGCAACGAGCGCAACCCGUUAUCCUUUGUUGCCAGCGGUUAGGCCGGGAACUCAAAGGAGACUGCCAGUGAUAAACUGGAGGAAGGUGGGGAUGACGUCAAGUCAUCAUGGCCCUUACGAGUAGGGCUACACACGUGCUACAAUGGCGCAUACAAAGAGAAGCGACCUCGCGAGAGCAAGCGGACCUCAUAAAGUGCGUCGUAGUCCGGAUUGGAGUCUGCAACUCGACUCCAUGAAGUCGGAAUCGCUAGUAAUCGUAGAUCGAGAAUGCUACGGUGAAUACGUUCCCGGGUCUUGUACACACCG